Long non-coding RNA from Myotis davidii, 100 nucleotides. RefSeq lists it as uncharacterized. The record is from RefSeq and is a predicted model, not a curated record. The transcript has 3 exons. NCBI's taxonomy places the organism in Eukaryota, Metazoa, Chordata, Mammalia, Chiroptera, Vespertilionidae.
AACUCAAAAUGGCUAAAGGACUUUAAAUGUAAGAUGGGAAACCAUAAAAAUCCUACAAGACUCCAUAGUCAGCAAAAUAGCAAACAUAUGUGAUAGCAAU